AGCAGCCGCGGUAAUUCCAGCUCCAAUAGCGUAUAUUAAAGUUGUUGCAGUUAAAAAGCUCGUAGUUGAAUUUCGAGACCGGCUUACUGGUCGUGCUUUUGUACGUACUGGUAUAAUCGGUUUCUCCUUUCUGACGAACUUUAAUGCCAUUAAUUUGGUGUUUUAGGGAAUCAGGACUGUUACUUUGAAAAAAUUAGAGUGUUUAAAGCAGGCUCACGCUUGAAUACAUUAGCAUGGAAUAACGGAAUAGGACGUUUGAUUCUAUUUUGUUGGUUUCUAGGAUCGACGUAAUGAUUAAUAGGGAUAGUUGGGGGCAUUAGUAUUCAAUUGUCAGAGGUGAAAUUCUUGGAUUUAUUGAAGACUAACUACUGCGAAAGCAUUUGCCAAGGAUGUUUUCAUUAAUCAAGAACGAAAGUUAGGGGAUCGAAGACGAUCAGAUACCGUCGUAGUCUUAACCAUAAACUAUGCCGACUAGGGAUCGGAUGAUGUUAAUUUUUUAAUGUACUUCAUUCGGUCCGCC
RNAcentral lists this ribosomal RNA (520 nucleotides) under uncultured Glomeromycotina. Its description in RNAcentral is "SSU rRNA". It matches the Rfam family "Eukaryotic small subunit ribosomal RNA", at positions 569 to 1088 of the family's 1831-position model. The record is from RNAcentral. Lineage: Eukaryota; Fungi; Glomeromycota.